UUUUUCAUAACUACUAUUCCUUUUGGCUUUCAAAGUAUAAUUGCCUAUCAAAUCCAGAAAAGCUUAAACAUUAUUGCAUUGCUCAUAGACUCAUUGAACAACUGAUCUGGGAUUCUUUAAAUCUUCAAUCUCUCUCCUAAUCCAUUCUAUCUUUCUCUUACCUCUGCCCAGAAAAUUCUUCAGAACCCCAAAAACCAAACUUCG
This 204-nucleotide long non-coding RNA is filed under the name Panax ginseng (ginseng). RNAcentral describes it as "long non-coding RNA (PGIN_LNC016266)". The record is from RNAcentral. Lineage: Eukaryota; Viridiplantae; Streptophyta; Magnoliopsida; Apiales; Araliaceae.